GACGAACGCUGGCGGCGUGCUUAACACAUGCAAGUCGAACGGACAGGCCAUGAUUUUGUGGGGUGCUCGAUUGGCGAACGGGUGAGUGACACGUGAGUAACCUGCCCUUGACUUUCGGGUAACAUCAGGAAACUGGGGCUAAUACAGGAUAGGAUCUCCUGCUCCGUGGUGGGCAUUGGAAAGUUCCGGCGGUUGGGGAUGGACUGGCGGCUUAUGCGCUUGUUGGUGGGGUAGUGGCUUACCAAGGCUUUGAAGGGUAGGCGGCAUGGGAGGGUGAACGGCGACAAUGGGACUGAGGGACGGAACAGACGGCGAUGUUAGGCAGUAGGGGGGAAUAUGGCACAACGGGCGGAAGCCUGAUGCAGCAACCCCGCGUGCGGGAAGACGUCUUUCUGGUGGUAAACCGCUUUCUCCUUAGACGUAGCGUGAGUGACGGUAACGGGUAAAGAAGCCCCGGCUAACUACGUG
This 468-nucleotide ribosomal RNA is filed under the name uncultured bacterium. Its description in RNAcentral is "partial 16S ribosomal RNA". It matches the Rfam family "Bacterial small subunit ribosomal RNA", at positions 28 to 507 of the family's 1533-position model. The record is from RNAcentral.